GCACAUCACUCGGAACUACGUAAGGUAGUCUAUACGAUGAAAGGUGUAAAAUACGCUCUAGUGCUUCUCUCAUCAUAUCAUCAGCGCGCAUAUCUAAGGUCACCCACCAGUCGGAACCCCUCUAAUGGUCUGUACGACUGGCAUGUCGGAACCCUUACAUGGUCUGUACGACAUCCACCUACUUGGAUCCAAGGCGAGCGUGCGGUGUGGUGAAUAAUAUAAGCACUAACACCUAGGGUGCAGAUUAUGAGCUCAAACAUCUCAACAACAACAAUUCAAUGAAUAAACGAACUCACCUGACUUACCUGUGCCUCCACAGCACCAUGCAACAUGUAUGCAUCAUAUAUCAAUCAUAUAACUCAUAUGAAAUUCACAUUUUCCAAAUAAUUCUAUGCAUGGCAUUUUCAAAACAUAAUUUCGCAUAAAAGCAUUUUUCUGGGAAAAACAAUAGUAUAUAGGUAAUACGAAAACAAAACUGCCCACUCACCUGGAGUUCGCCCACAACUCCCUAGCACCGUACAUCAAGGCGUCAUGACGAUUAGCGCCUAGAACAACAAUCAAAUCCAACCUCAGAAAUUCUGCCGAUAGAAUACAUAACUUAUAUAAGACACGUCACUACGUAGUUCGAUCCGGAUGAUCUGCAAUUCAGAUUUCAAAUCCGUAACUUCCAGAGGUCCACAAUAUACCUCUAGGACAACAUCCUAAAAUUUCAUUACCAUCCAACGGUCGGAUCUCCGUCAAUUUCCAAAACUAAGUGACGGUUAACAUUCUAUUUUAUGAACUUACAACUUCAAUUCCGGAAGAUCCGUAAAUCGGAUUCCCAAUCCGUAAGUUCCUAUAAUCCUCAAAUAUUACGUAUUACAACGUAUCAAAGUUUUGAUGACGAUCCAACGGUCGGAUCGUCAAUUCACAUUUUCACCUAACCACGAAAUCGUAACCAACUUAGGUUCAAUUAUUCAAUUUACGUCCAUCAAUUAUCAAAACAGAACCUAGAACCUUAAUCACAAGCUAAUAAUGACAUUGGCGGGCCAUUGGCCACGCGCCGCCGCGCGGGCCGCCGCGGGUGGCGGUUGGCCGCCCCCGGCUCGCCGGAAAAUUCAACUAUUUCCAAAAAUUACCAAAAUUUUCAGAUUUGAAGAUCUCAAUGAGUAGAACAACUUUCAUACCUGAGACCAAUGCCAAUUUGGCCUGGAAGUGCUUCAAUUUCACCAAAACCGUGAAGAACCCUAGAAUUUGGGUGUUUCCAAUUCGACCUUCAAACUUGUUCCAACGCCUCAAUUACCUCUUGGGCUUUGUUCUAGGUCCUAAAGGAAUGCUAAAGGUGUUAGUAAUUGAAAGAAAACAUUUCAAAAUUUGGAGAAUUUAAACAAAAGGGUCGCGGCACCCGUAGGGGUGUUCUUCGCGAAAUCACAACGAAAUUCAAUGAUUCUUGGGGUGAAACGUGAAGAGGGAAGGCCUAGAUGAUGAUUAGGAGUGGUACCUUGACUCAAUUCGUCGGAAAAUUGGACGAAAACGGCGAAAACCCGCCGAUUUGGAAGCUUGGGUCGCGCGGGUCAAGGGUGACCCAUUCCUCCUGUUCCCCCGUGCACCACUCUCCCUCCUUUCCCUCCUUUCCGUCCCCUGAUUGGUCAGCUUCUUCCUCUCCCUUCUUCUGGUUCACUCUCAUCUCUCUUCUUCUCCGAUUGGGCAUUUCUGCCCAGUCUCUUCUUCUUUUCUGUUUUUCUGUUUCUUCUUCUCAUACACAUACACACACCAAAAACCUUUCCCUCAUCCCAGCCAUCCAUUUCAUUCAUCAAUAAAUCUGGGCCGUCCAAUUUCAUAAAAGAAUUUCUAUAUUUUACUAAAAUUAUAAUUCCUUAAAAUUCCAAAUUUCAAACGUUAAUAACUUCUUCGAUAUAACUCCAAAUCACGAACCGUCUGCGCCCACCGCGUCCGUAACGACGAGUACUACGACGAGGAUAUGUCAAGAAAACAAAUCUUAGAUGGCACGACACAACGAUUAACCUCGAAUGAUGUGCGUGCCUCAAAGGGCAUUUUUGUAAUAUCCUUUAUUAAAACUUUAAAAAUUCUUAAAAUUAGGGACGGGCUGUCACAAUCUACCCACCUUACAGAAAUUUCGUCCUCGAAAUUUACACAAUCUUUACAAUCCAUCAAUAUCCAUGAAACAGCCCGAAACACAUCUCUCUCAUUCGAUUCUUUGACUUCUAAGUAGCUUCUUCCACUGAAAGAUUCCUGCAUAAACUUUCACCAAACUCAUAGUCUUAUUUCUCAGUACAUCAUCUUUCUAAUACAAGAUAGGCACUGGCUCCUCAUCAUACGUCAAAUCCAUAUUGACUUCCAAGGUUGAGAAGGUAUCACUCGUGAAGGAUAUGAGGUUUAAUGUCGAAGUAUCGAAACAUAAAACAUAUCAUGCCCUUUCAUCGGCUCUGGAGGCAACUCAGCCUGUACGUAACUUCACUGACUCGUUCGAUGAUCACAGAUGGUCUGACGUAUCUAGGACUUACUUGUUUUUCUUUUUAAAACAAAUCAUACCUUUCCAAGGUGAUAAUUUCAAAAUCAUUCGAUCACCUACAUAUACAUCCGGUCAGUGGCAUGUUUGUCUGCUAAGCUCUUCAGCCGAUCCUGGCCCACUUCCAGGUUAGACUUAAUUACUUGAAUAUUCCGAAUAGUCUCAUCCACUAACUCAGGGCCUUGAAUACUAUCCGUCCCCAAUUCUAACAAUUUCGAAACACAAGACAUAGCUUUCCACGGCCUUAUGGCGUUACUCUAGGGAACAAACUGAAGGGACCAACAUACCCAAGAAGUUUAACAGAUCCCAAAUCUCUUUUUCCAUAAAACAAACAAAUAAAUGUUGCGCUUGUCUGGAAAAGUUGGUGUUCUCAUACUGAAGUAACAUACGCUGACGUCACCAGUCGAUCAAUUAUUAUUCAAAUUCCAACCUAACUAUUUUGUAUACGAGGAAGCUUGUCCACGAAAUCCAUAGUAAUAUUCUCCCAUUUCCGCCGUGGAAUGGGAAAUGACUACAUUAAUCCAAAAGACUUAUUUCUUUCUGCUUUAACCUGAUGACUGAUGAUACGCCUACUAACAUACUUCGCCAUUCCUCUUUUCAUACCCGUCAAUAGUACAUGAACGAAUGGUAUGAUAAAUCUUAGUACUUUUUGGGAUGCAUUGUAGAAGUGGAAAUAAUGUACAUCGUCAAAAUUGCUUUCUUUAAUUCCACACCAUUAGGCAUAAACACUUUGUUCUUUUGCAUAGGCUUGCCAUCUGAUUCUCUAACUCUAAGGUCCUUCUUUUUCCCGUUAUUCCUUGCUUUAAAAUAAAUUCUUGAAUUUCUUCGUCAAACGCUCGAGUAUCGAGUACGAUCUACCAAAUGGGUCCAACUUAGAAAUUAGCAAGUAAGGCUUCUUCUCGAUUUUUGAUACUCAACUUUACUCCAGUAGAUUUCAAAUCCACAAGAAGAUGAACAUAGCAAGCGUACCAAGCAUUAAUUUCUCACUGGGGUCUUCCUACUAAAAUGCAUCAGCCACAACAUUAGCUUGACCACCCUCGUCACACAAUCAUAGUCACUAAGCAACUCAUUCCACCUUUGUUGCCUAAGAUUAAGAUACCUCUGAAUAAACAGAUAUUGGGUACUCUUUUGAUUUGUAACAAUCAUGCACUUUUCUUCCCAUAAAGACAAUGUCUCCAAAUCUUCAAAGCAAAGAUGAUAGCUGCUAAUUCCAAAUUAUAAUUAGGGUAAUUCAUCUUAUGAGAUCCCAAUGGCCAUGAAGCAUAGGCAAUCAUCCUACCAUGUUGCAUCAACACGCAUCCAAGUACAUUCAAAGAAGUAUUAUUAUAGACCACAUAAUUACCACUAUCGUCUGGGAGUGCGAAAACAGAUGCAUGAGUGAGGGAAUACUUUACUUGCUGAAGCUCUACUCACAAUUUUUUUUAUCCCACUCAAACUUAACCUCUUUUCUCAUCAAUCUCGCCAAGGGCGAAGCAAUAAUUAAAAUCUUGGACGAACUAUCGACAAUAUCCUGCUAAUCCGAGAAAACUCUGAACCUCAGUCACAGUUCGCAAUUGUUCCAAAUUCUCAAUCGUUGCUACUCUUUUAAGAAUCCAUUUGAAUACCUUAAGUAGAUAUAAUUAAUUUAUCCAACAUUAGCAUUUGCUAAACUUAGCAUACAUCAACGUUCCCUCAAUCUUUGCAACACCAACUUUAAAUAUCUAGCAUGCACUGCUCUAAUCUUAUCAAUCUCGUCAAUGGCAAACAAUAACAACCCGGUCCAGAUAUCACUGGAAUACUUCCUUCAGCAAACUCAUAAAAGUAGCAGGUGCAUUCGUCACUCCGUAUGGCCUCCCAACUUGAAAUGACCAUAACGAGUCCUGGAUUUAGUCUUAUGAACAUCCUCACUGUUAAUCUUCAACUAAUAUCAUUCAGACCUCAAGUCAAUCUCAGAAAGUACCCAGGCGCCUCAGAGCUGAUCAAAUAAUCAUCAAUACACAACAAUGGAUAACAGCUCUCAAUCGUUACCCGAUUCAAUUACCUAAUAUCAAUGCCUAGCCUUAAUGUCCAUUUUCUUCCUCACAAAUAAACCGGAGCUUUUCCAAUGUGAUAAUAUAAGUUGAAAUGGAACUUUUAACUCAACCUGAACCAAUCUCUAACAUAGGAUUUGUACCUAAAAAACAAUUCAAUAAUAAAACCCACAUCUCUCUGCCUGGCGGCAAUCUAGGUAAGGCAUCUGGGAAUACACCAAGAAAAUGUCUAACCAUCUUUACAUCUUCCAUACUAUUAGGAUCAACAUCAUUUAGCACCAUAUGAACUCAAUAUCUUGGCAGCCUUUUGAUAACAAUCUUCUUUGCUCUCUCAACAGGAAUAAUGGCAUAACUCACUCCACUUUACUUACCCCCAAAAGUAACCUCUGGUCAUCCAGGUCGACAAAAAUUAACUGAUUCCCCAUAGCAAUCUAGCUUGACACAAAUAUACAUUUCCUCUACCAGAGUCAUCUUGUCUCAGAAAUCUGGGAUCACUAGUAAAUCUAUCACUUCGCCUCUGACCAGUGGCAGUAAAACCUAAGCUGGGAAAAUUAGCUCUAAUUUCACCUCCUUUGAAGCUCUGAGUCCUCCGAGGUCUUUGAUAUGACGAAUCUUUAACUUUAUCGUCUUAUUCUGAUUCUCAUUCCUUUCUUAUUCCUCUUUACUCUCGCUGAUCAUAUUCUCAAAGUCUUCAAAGCCCAACAACAUCUCGUAAACUCUUGGUAAAAAGUACAAUGGAUAGUGGUCGCCAAAGAACGCAACUUCUUCUUAUUAUCCAGCCAAAAACGACAUAACACCUCGACCGAAUUAACAACAUCAGAAUGGAAACAAGGCAAGUCUGUAAACUUUCUAUAAUAUUCAUCCGUCGUCAUUUUCCUUGUCUCACAUUUGCAAUUUCUUGUUUACUACCAUCACAAUAUGCCGGGGGAAUGAACUUUUCUUAAACAAUUCUUUAACCAACUUCCAAACAGUUGUCCUUCCGAUAUCGUCGGAUAACAUUCCUAUCUCCAUCAAAAUGCAGAUUCAUCACUCAAAAACUAGGUAAAUCAUCUCGACCUACCUAUCGGGAGGAAAAUUCCCUUAACCUUGCAUAAUCUGAAACGCCUUUUCCCAAUUGAUUAAGCCAUCAAUCUGCUCCCUUAGGUCCUUCAUAUCCCUAAAGGGAUUCAAAUUUAACUUAUAACCAGUCUCAAAAGGUCCCUUUAGAUAAUAGACUGAAUCACAAUGGCAAUAGUUUCCCCCCAAACUACUAUAUCAGGGAAAUUAGGCUCAUCCGAACUACGUGGCUCGCUACGAGGCGGUAUAGUUCUGACAGAAGACACUAGGAAAUUAUCAAGAUGUCCAGAAUUGCAACCUAGGCUCUGAUACCAACUGACACACCCCGUCCCGAAGGAGGGCGUGCUGGCCGUCACGUGAGAGUGACGUAACCAUUUACACAGUUCGGAAGCUUUAAAAAAAUUUCCAAUUACUAAGAUAACACACCCGAGGGUGAGUCCUACUUUUGUGAAUUCUGUCAGAACACCGUUGGAUUCCUCGUGGCCACCAAAGCUCUGCUAACUUGAACCUGGAGGGGCGCAAAACAAAAUUGAGUGGGUCAGUAAAACAAAGUUUUUUCGAAAAACUUUUCAUUUAAAACAUUUCUAACCCCUCACCGUAAAACCUGUAUACUUUCCCAGAAAAUAGCAUAUAUAUAAACAUAUAUAUAAGCAAAACUCUCAAAUCUCAAACCUUUAACACUUUUCAGAAAUAUAUAUAUAUAUAUAUAUAUAUAUAUAUAUAUAUAUAUAUAACCAUAUGAAAUCUCAAAGCUUGAAUCCCAAAUCUUUAACAUUUUUCAAGAAAAACAUGCCAUGCCAUAAAUCAAAAUAUAAAUCAGGUGAAAUAAGGAAUCAAUCGGAGACCCUGCAGUUGGUCCUAUACGAUUAAUUCAAUAGCUCAAUAUCUCACUAAGCCGGAGUCACCACAGUGACCUAUACGGCCCUACUCUGCACAUCACUCGGAACUACGUAAGGUAGUCUAUACGAUGAAAGGUGUAAAAAUAUGCUCUAGUGCUUCUCUCAUCAUAUCAUCAGCGCGCAUAUCUAAGGUCACCCACCAGUCGGAACCCCUCUAAUGGUCUGUACGACUGGCAUGUCGGAACCCUUACAUGGUCUGUACGACAUCCACCUACUUGGAUCCAAGGCGAGCGUGCGGUGUGGUGAAUAAUAUAUAAGCACUAACACCUAGGGUGCAGAUUAUGAGCUCAAACAUCUCAACAACAACAAUUCAAUGAAUAAACGAACUCACCUGACUUACCUGUGCCUCCACAGCACCAUGCAACAUGUGUAUGCAUCAUAUAUCAAUCAUAUAACUCAUAUGAAAUUCACAUUUUCCAAAUAAUUCUAUGCAUGGCAUUUUCAAAACAUAAUUUCUCAUAAAAGCAUUUUUCUGGGAAAAACAAUAGUAUAUAGGUAAUACGAAAACAAAACU
RNAcentral lists this long non-coding RNA (6987 nucleotides) under Malus domestica (apple). RNAcentral's name for it is "long non-coding RNA (MDOM_LNC004067)". The record is from RNAcentral. Lineage: Eukaryota; Viridiplantae; Streptophyta; Magnoliopsida; Rosales; Rosaceae.